Molecule: ribosomal RNA, 346 nt
Filed under: uncultured bacterium
Lineage: Bacteria
Description: bacterial SSU rRNA
Rfam family: Bacterial small subunit ribosomal RNA
Source: RNAcentral
AGGGUUUGAUUAUGGCUCAGGACGAACGCUGGCGGCGUGCCUAACACAUGCAAGUCGAACGAGAAUUACGAAGCUGAUUACUUCGGUUUGAAGUUUUGUAAGGAAAGUGGCGGACGGGCGAGUAACGCGUGAAUAACCUGCCCAUAAGAGGGGGAUAACACAUGGAAACGUGUGCUAAUACCGCAUAUUGAAUAGUGACCGCAUGGUCGUUAUUUGAAAGAUUUUAUCGCUUAUGGAUGGAUUCGCGUCAGAUUAGCUAGUUGGUGAGGUAACGGCUCACCAAGGCGACGAUCUGUAGCCGAACUGAGAGGUUGAUCGGCCGCAUUGGGACUGAGACACGGCCCAG